This 253-nucleotide ribosomal RNA is filed under the name uncultured bacterium. RNAcentral describes it as "partial 16S ribosomal RNA". It matches the Rfam family "Bacterial small subunit ribosomal RNA", at positions 524 to 776 of the family's 1533-position model. The record is from RNAcentral.
UACGGAGGGUGCGAGCGUUAAUCGGAAUUACUGGGCGUAAAGCGCACGUAGGCGGUUGUGUGAGUCUGCUGUGAAAGCCCCGGGCUCAACCUGGGAAUAGCAGUGGGGACUGCACGACUCGAGUGCGAGAGAGGGUGGCGGAAUUCCGGGUGUAGCGGUGAAAUGCGUAGAGAUCCGGAGGAACACCGAUGGCGAAGGCAGCCACCUGGCUCGACACUGACGCUGAGGAGCGAAAGCGUGGGGAGCAAACAGG